AUUGAACGCUGGCGGCAGGCCUAACACAUGCAAGUCGAGCGGAUGAAGGGAGCUUUCUCCUGUCUUCAGCUGCGGACGGGUGAGUAAUUCCUAGGAAUCUGCCUUGUAUUGGGGGAUAACGUCCGUACACGGGCCCUAAUACCGUAUCCGUUCUUAUGUAGAACUUGGGGGUUCUUUGGACCUCGCGCUUUCUGAUGACCCUAGGUCGGAUUAGCUAGUUGGUGGGGUAAAGGCCUACCAAGGCGACGAUCCGUAACUGGUCUGAGAGGAUGAUCAGUCACACUGGAACUGAGACACGGUCCAGACUCCUACGGGAGGCAGCAGUGGGGAAUAUUGGACAAUGGGCGAAAGCCUGAUCCAGCAAUGCCGCGUGUGUGAAGAAGGUCUUCGGAUUGUAAAGCACUUUAAGUUGGGAGGAAGGGAAGUAAGUUAAUACCUUGAUGUUUUGACGUUACCAACAGAAUAAGCAACGGCUAACUUCGUG
This 484-nucleotide ribosomal RNA is filed under the name uncultured bacterium. RNAcentral's name for it is "partial 16S ribosomal RNA". It matches the Rfam family "Bacterial small subunit ribosomal RNA", at positions 30 to 507 of the family's 1533-position model. The record is from RNAcentral.